RNAcentral lists this long non-coding RNA (4600 nucleotides) under Coffea arabica (coffee). RNAcentral's name for it is "long non-coding RNA (CARA_LNC006906)". Lineage: Eukaryota; Viridiplantae; Streptophyta; Magnoliopsida; Gentianales; Rubiaceae. The record is from RNAcentral.
GCCGAAUUUCAUCGAACUUACCACACUAGUGGGUCCCACAUUCGAUAUACACUCAUAAUUUCACAUGAACUAACUUAUACUAGAAAAAUGAUUUAAAAAACUAUAUUUUCUCAUAAAAAUCAUCUGGGGAAUUUUCUAAUAAAGAAAAGGUAUAAAAGUGUGCAAUUAAAUAAAAUAAAACCUAGAAAUUCAGAAAAUUUUCGGGUCCUCACAUUAGAUAUGUAUGUUGGGUAGGAAUCUCAAAAGUGGUUAAUUUCCUCUUGAGCAUAGCUAAAUCGAGUGGGGAAAUGAUCAUAUUUUCGGAUUCUUGUAUCCGAAUACCAAAGAGUGAUACCUUUAUGAUAAGUCGAUAUCCCGAGUAAUAUGAGAGUAAGUUUGAAUGGCGAAAGCCAAGGCACGAGGAAUGCGAAUAGUCUGGAUUUUGGAUAUAUUGAAGAUAUUAGUGUGAUUGGGGACCCUGAUUAUUCACGCGUACAUACUUGGUUGUACUUCGUCAAGUUUUGCCUGAGCAAUAUCUAGGGUUAAUGUCCCGUAGGAUGUUUGAAUUGCUAUGAUAUAUACAAAGAAAGUGUGUUAUUUUCAAUGUGUUUUAUUAAUUUUCAUUUUAUGAUUUGAAAAUACUUUUAUUGAACCUUAUAGCUAUUUUAUUUUGCUUAUACUUAUUUACGAAUAAAUAUAUGAAUUCACGAAUAAAUGAAUGAAUUUCGAGAAUGAAAUUCUUUUAAGGAGGGGAGAUUGUGAUACCCCGAUUUUUAGGACAAUGUUUUUCCCUCGUUCUUUUAAAAUUUCGAUUUAUUUCUUUUGUUUUUUUUUCAAAACACUGUUUUCUUUAAUUGGACACUUUAAAUUUAAAUCAAAAUCCUAGUUUUACUUGUGACUAAAAGGUUAUUAUGUAAUUGAGUUUAUGUAUGACAAUGCAUAUUUUAUUAUAGGUAAUUAUAAUGGUUGGGUGGUUAGUAUAUUAAUGAGGUGUAAUUAAGCUUGUGGAUUUCAUUAAGUUAGUGAUCUAUGGAGUUAAUUGGAAAGAUUAAAAGAAGUUGGGGUCAUAGUGUGAGGAUUAGCAAAGUAAGAUUUUUAGUAACAUCAAAGCUUCUAGGAUCUUCCUAAGCUUAAAUUUGAUUGGUGGAGAAAAAGUCUAAGUUGACCAUUGGCUUAAAUAUCUUCUAUUGUUAGUAAAUGAAAAACAAAGCCAAAAAUUAAAAGGAAAAAAGAGAGAGAGGGCCGAGAGCUCUAUGGGAGGUUCAAGAGGAAAAGUUUCAACUUUGGUUUCUUGAUUUCUUGCUCAAUCUUGCAAACUAACCGAUAGCUUCACCAAAUAAUCCAUAGAAAUUGCUUCGGAAGGUGGAUUGCUAUCUUGGAGUGGAGUGUUUUGGUAGUUCAAGCUUCCUAGGGGUUGUUGUGCUUCUCUAAUGCUUGGUAAGGUUGGUAUUAGUUCAUGUUUGUGUACUUUAUUGGUUUACAAGUGAAAGUUAUGGCUUGUUUAGGUAGAUUUCAUGAUUUUAGUAGUGGUUAUAGUAAAUUCUAGCCUUCUAGUGUAAUUUUCAGUUUUGGUUGUUGAAAUGGAUGGUUGUUCUUGGUGUUCAUGUUGUGGUAAUGCUUAUGCUUAGUGUAUGGAAGUGAAUUCAUGGUUAAAAAUUGUUGGGUUUGUAGCAUAUAAAAUUUCGGUCAGCAAGAAAGGUGAUUUGUAAAAAUUGAUUUCCAGUUUUAAUGAUGAAAUCAUCGUGUUUCUGACCGUGUCUUUUAGUCCAUGAUAGAGGCCGAAUCAGCCUUAGAUCAAAACAGGAAAGUUGUAGGAAAUGAUGCUUUAUAGCUGGCUACAAAAUUUUAGCUCAAUCGGAGUACUGUAGCAUGUGAAAUGACCGAAAUACCCUUGACUGCCCAUAAGCCCUGUUUCGCGGACAGUUUUCUGUUUUCGUGGAGAUUUUGAUUUUUGACCAUGAAAAUGCAUGAUUUGGCUUUGGAGUCUUCAUAAGGAAUGUAGGUACAUGUCUUGGCUUCGAAACGCCAUAAGAUUCGUUUCAAUCCGAUAAGUAUAGCUUCGGUUGUGGUUGUUAUGCCGGAAGGUGUUUUAUCGCCUAUAAUUUGUAUGUGAAAUUGUAUUUGAUUUGGGAUGAGAUUUGGUAUUUGAUUGUAGGAUGAAAAGUGAAGAAAUUAUGGGGAAAUGCUGUCCGUUUAUUUUCUUGAAGUUUGAAUAAGUAAAAGUGAGAUUUGAAAUGUGAUUUGGGGAUGCGUUGGACUUACUUUUCUUAGACUUACUUAGGUCCACUUUAAUGGUGUUACUUCAACUAGAUUCCAUUUGAACUUGUACCAUUUCACAUGGUGAAUGUGACAACCGUUUUAAGCAUGAUACUUGGUUACAGAUGUCAAGUUUUGAAAUUCAAAUGUUUACUCAUUUUCUUUCCGAAACAAAGAAGAAUUGCCUAGGGUUUCUCGCACGCAAAACCUAAUUUUAUCAAGCGAGGUUUUAGGUGUGCAUCUAGGGUUUGUUUAGCUUCCUUUUCAUUUGAUUUUACCCAAGACACUCGUUAUACGUUAUUUCUUUGCAUAUGUGUUAGUUUCGAGCCAAACAAAAAGCUUUACGAAAAUUUGAAAAAUUGACUUUUCAUAUCCGGCCGUAUAUCCGGCCAACUCUUGGCCGGAUUGAGAGGGGAAGAAGAAAAAAUUUGGAAUGCUCACUGCCUUGAAUCCGGCCGGAUUCUGACAUGGCAAUGUUCAUUUAUUUUUCAAUGGAAUUUUCUAAAAACCUUUUUAGCAUGGUUUUGUGUUUGAUUUGGGAAAACUCUUAGUUACUCAUGUUUUCUGAUCUAAAUCUACUCUUUUCCCUUUAAAACUCAUAUUUAUAUAUUACACUAGUACGUAUUUGGAUUCUCUUUGAAUCACUUAGGUUUUUUAUGGUUGAAAUAUAAUGUGUUCUUUUGAUUACUAUUAGGGUUCCUUGGUAAUUGAGGGUAUUAUCCGGAAGGAUACUCUGGACGUUAUUUUGCUUAAAUAGGUGAGUGUUUUUUGUUUGUUAUGUUUCCAUUAACUAUAUGAUUUGUUGUGGAUAUUUGAUUAAAUAAUAAAUCUUCGUUAAAAAUGAAUUUUGCUAGGCGAGUUUGUACUUUAUCGCACUCGACCUAAAUGAAAUGUGAAAUUUUCAAUGUUUAAGUGAUUAAAUGUUAGUUGUGCAUGAAUGUAAGCCUUUUGGCUGACUUGGGCCCUUGCCCUUCGUUGCUGGUCGACUCGAGACUGAAGCGGACUCGGUCGGGCGAUUUGGUGACCCUGGGUGAAAGUUUGGUAUACUCAAGUAUUACCACGUUGUUGGGUGGAGUCUGGCCAAUGUCCAGAAAGGGGAAGAAUGAAAUGAAUGAACGAGCGACAAUGUCAAUGGAGGGGUUUUCACUUACAAAAUGCAUUUUAAAAUGAUUAGAGGAAUAAGGAAAUGAAAGGUGAAUGAAAGAAUGAAAGACUCUAUGUGAGCAUGUAUCCUUUUAAUGAAUAUGUUAUCAUUGCUUCAUAUUGUAAAUGUUUUCUGGAUUACUUGUUAUUACAUGAUUAAUGUCCUUGUUUAAGUUGAUUAUGUGUCUGGAACCUUACUGAGUUUUUAGCUCAUUCCGUUAGCUUUGUUUUCCUUACAGGGGCUACGAGCGAGGGUGUGAGAUCUAUGUAGACUAGUCUGGAUUAGUUCUUUUGAAUUUUGUUUUGUUGAUUUUCUCACGCUAGUGCUUAAAUAGGGUUGGAUGUAUUAAGAACUGAGAAAUUUCGUUUUCUUUGGGAUUGCAUAUUAUUUUGAGAUAGAAAUGAAUGUAAGUAUGCGUUUCAAGUUUGGGAAAUGUUGUUUUGUUAUCCUUGCGGUUAUUUCUUAUUUCUUUUGAAGAGUUUGAGUGAGUCUGGCGAGAGUUGGGCAGGCGGUCCGCCGAACCCUUUGGUUCGCCUUAGGGGGAUGUGGGGCUGUCACAGGUGGUAUCAGAACUCCUAUCGAACUCGUGCCGGGAGAGGGUUCUCGGACUGUGGGGAUUGGCUUGUUAAGUGUGGAACAAUUGUCUAUUGUUGGGGAUUUUAGAUAUGUAUGUUGGGUAGGAAUGUCAAAAGUAGUUGAUUUCCUCUUGAGCAUAGCUAACUCGAGUGGGGAAAUGAUCAUAUUUUCGGAUUCUUGUACCCGAAUACCAAAGAGUGAUACCUUUAUGAUAAGUCGAUAUCCCGAGUAAUAUGAGAGUAAGUUUGAAUGGCGAAAUCCAAGGCACGGUGAAUGCGAAUAGUCUGGAUUUUGGAUAUAUUGAAGAUAUUAGUGAGAUUGGGGACCCUGAUUAUUCACGCGUACAUACUUGGUUGUAUUUCGUCAAGUUUUGCCUAAGUAUUAUCUAGGGUUAAUGUCCCGUAGGAUGUGUGAAUUGCUAUGAUAUAUACAAAGAAAGUGUGUUAUUUUUAAUGUGUUUUAUUAAUUUUCAUUUUAUGAUUUGAAAAUGCUUUUAUUGAACCUUAUAGCUAUUUUAUUUUGCUUAUACUUAUUUACGAAUAAAUAUAUGAAUUCACGAAUAAAUGAAUGAAUUUCGAGAAUGAAAUUCUUUUAAGGAGGGGAGAUUGUGAUACCCCGAUUUUUAGGACAAUGUUUUUCCCUCGU